UACGAAGGGGGCUAGCGUUGUUCGGAAUUACUGGGCGUAAAGGGCGCGUAGGCGGUGUGUCAAGUCAGGCGUGAAAGCCCCGGGCUCAACCCGGGAACCGCGCUUGAGACUGGCACGCUAGAGUUCGGGAGAGGAUGGUGGAAUUCCCAGUGUAGAGGUGAAAUUCGUAGAUAUUGGGAAGAACACCGAUGGCGAAGGCAGCCAUCUGGACCGACACUGACGCUGAGGCGCGAAAGCGUGGGGAGCAAACAGG
RNAcentral lists this ribosomal RNA (253 nucleotides) under uncultured bacterium. RNAcentral's name for it is "partial 16S ribosomal RNA". It matches the Rfam family "Bacterial small subunit ribosomal RNA", at positions 524 to 776 of the family's 1533-position model. The record is from RNAcentral.